UACGUAGGAGGCAAGCGUUGUCCGGAAUUACUAGGCGUAAAGCGCGUGUAGGUGGUGGGACAAGUCUGCUGUGAAAGCGCCUGGCUUAACCGGGCGAGGUCGGCGGAAACUGUCCGACUCGAGGACGGUAGAGGGGGGUGGAAUUCCCGGUGUAGUGGUGAAAUGCGUAGAGAUCGGGAGGAACACCUGUGGCGAAGGCGGCCCCCUGGGCCGGCCCUGACACUGAGACGCGAAGGCGUGGGGAGCGAACGGG
RNAcentral lists this ribosomal RNA (253 nucleotides) under uncultured bacterium. Its description in RNAcentral is "partial 16S ribosomal RNA". It matches the Rfam family "Bacterial small subunit ribosomal RNA", at positions 524 to 776 of the family's 1533-position model. The record is from RNAcentral.